UGGGGAAUAUUGCGCAAUGGGGGAAACCCUGACGCAGCAACGCCGCGUGAGUGAUGAAGGCUUUCGAGUCGUAAAACUCUGUCUUCGGGGACGAUAAUGACGGUACCCGAGGAGGAAGCCCCGGCUAACUACGUGCCAGCAGCCGCGGUAAUACGUAGGGGGCAAGCGUUGUCCGGAAUCACUGGGCGUAAAGGGCGCGUAGGCGGUUUGUUAAGUCAGGUGUGAAAGUUUUCAGCUUAACUGGAAAAGUGCACUUGAAACUAACUUACUUGAGUACUGGAGAGGUAAGCGGAAUUCCUAGUGUAGCGGUGAAAUGCGUAGAUAUUAGGAAGAACACCGGUGGCGAAGGCGGCUUACUGGACAGAGACUGACGCUGAGGCGCGAAAGCGUGGGGAGCGAACAGG
RNAcentral lists this ribosomal RNA (404 nucleotides) under uncultured bacterium. RNAcentral describes it as "bacterial SSU rRNA". It matches the Rfam family "Bacterial small subunit ribosomal RNA", at positions 355 to 776 of the family's 1533-position model. The record is from RNAcentral.